Molecule: long non-coding RNA, 760 nt
Filed under: Astyanax mexicanus (Mexican tetra)
Lineage: Eukaryota; Metazoa; Chordata; Actinopteri; Characiformes; Acestrorhamphidae
Description: lncRNA (ENSAMXG00005006473.1)
Source: RNAcentral
AUGUCUGACAAACCUAAAGUGUAUCAAGGUGUGCGAGUGAAGACCACUGUCAAGGAGCUUCUUCAGAAGCGCAGAGCAGCUCUACAGGCUGCAGAAUCUCAGAAAUCGCAAACUGUGCCCUCUCCCGACUCAUGUCCCACAACGCUUCCUGCAGCCCAUGGAGAUGUUUUUCCUGCCAGCUCGGUGCCAGACACCUACUUCCAGCCUCGGCAGUUUGCUGACAAUGGGCACAUCUCGAUGGAGGACACGUUCCUGAUGAACGCGAUGCCUUCUGAGGGUUUGCACGCCAGCAGCACGUCGUGCAGCCCUGCUGCUUGGAUGGAUGGAUACAACAUCCCUGCAUGCAUGGACUACUACAGCAACCCCUUAGCCCUUCUUUCUAGUUCACCAACACACUCCUUUAACCUCCCCAGCCCAGCAGAUUACAACAGCUACUCCCCCCCUGAGUCUCACUCCUCGUCUUCCUCGUGCUACAGCUCUCCAUCACGCCUGGAUCUCAGCACCAGUUUUGCACCGGAAAGUUGCCACUACCAGCAGCACUUUGACCUGCAGCACUGCUACAGUCACUGGCCCGCCCUGAACGAGGCAGGAACCGCCUCAGAAUACACAGCUUACAGCUCUUCAGACUGUUUUUACCCAACCUUUGGUGAAGAUCUCUACAGCAGGAGGGAAUCGUCCAGCGCUGAGCUGUGUUACCUAUAAGAGCACUUUGUCCAAGUGACUGUUUUUGUACAGUGUCAUGAAACGAUGUCCAGCUUUU